This 87-nucleotide transfer RNA is filed under the name Candidatus Ventrenecus avicola. RNAcentral's name for it is "tRNA-Leu". It matches the Rfam family "tRNA". Rfam says of the family: Transfer RNA (tRNA) molecules are approximately 80 nucleotides in length. Their secondary structure includes four short double-helical elements and three loops (D, anti-codon, and T loops). The record is from RNAcentral. RNAcentral also lists the same sequence under 1 other name.
GCUUGUGUGGCGGAACUGGUAGACGCGCUGGACUCAAAAUCCAGUGGUAGCAAUAUCGUGUGGGUUCGAGUCCCACCACAAGCACCA